RNAcentral lists this ribosomal RNA (253 nucleotides) under uncultured bacterium. RNAcentral's name for it is "partial 16S ribosomal RNA". It matches the Rfam family "Bacterial small subunit ribosomal RNA", at positions 524 to 776 of the family's 1533-position model. The record is from RNAcentral.
UACGUAGGGUGCAAGCGUUAAUCGGAAUUACUGGGCGGAAAGCGUGCGCAGGCGGUUAUGUAAGACAGGGGUGAAAUCCCCGGGCUUAACCUGGGAACUGCAUUUGUGACUGCAUAGCUAGAGUACGGUAGAGGGGGAUGGAAUUCCGCGUGUAGCAGUGAAAUGCGUAGAUAUGCGGAGGAACACCGAUGGCGAAGGCAAUCCCCUGGACCUGUACUGACGCUCAUGCACGAAAGCGUGGGGAGCAAACAGG